GGGGGAUUUUGGGGCGCGGAGAUGGAGCGAUGGGUGUUAGGGGGCCUCGGGCUUCGGGUGGUCUUGUGUCAGCGGAAAACAGUCACUGUUGAUCCAUGAGAGAUGCAGCCUAGAGUGUUCCAGCUAUUAGAAAUUACACACCACAAGCAGCCCUAUGGCAACAAGGAGGAAGGGGUCUUUCUGUGUUCACCACAAGAGAAUGUUGCCAGCAGUGUGCCAUCACCAGACCAUCAUCACCGUCCCAGGGGUUUCCGUGCAGGACCUGGAAACACAGUGAGGAACUGGCUGUCACCCACAGAAGGAAGUGCGUCAGAGGUGAUUUAAUCCCAGCCACCAUGCCCAAAACUGAGUCUUUAACUCUUUCACUUGGAGCAAGAGGGCAGUUGCUGGCACCUAAACGAGCAGUGCCAGUAAUUGCUGUGUGCUGUGAUAAAUGCAUAUGGCCAUGCACAAGUCUGAAUGUAUGAAGCAAAGUCCCUUGGAACUGCCUACAGCAAAAGUUGAAGUCAUCUGGAAGUCACAAGAUGUCUUAUCUGUAGUAUGAAGUCAUGAGUCAUUUUAUGCCCAAGAAACCAACAUCAUCAAAUUCAGAGAAAUCACAGCGUGGGACAGACACAAUGAGACAAAGAAUACACGAUGCUCCAAGGUACGAAGGAAUAUUAAGAAGAGCCAGGGCUUGGAAUUCCUGUUGCAUGGAGGAAUGAGAGAUGAAUACCAUUUAUCUGUCUUGCAGAUAGGGAAUUGCAAGCCUAUAGAGCUGCUCAGGUCUCACUAUGUAUUGUGUGAUCCACAG
RNAcentral lists this long non-coding RNA (793 nucleotides) under Gallus gallus (chicken). Its description in RNAcentral is "lncRNA (ENSGALG00010003369.1)". Lineage: Eukaryota; Metazoa; Chordata; Aves; Galliformes; Phasianidae. The record is from RNAcentral.